UACGAGAGGCCCAAACGUUAUUCGGAAUUACUGGGCUUAAAGGGUGCGUAGGCGGCGCGGAAAGUUGGGUGUGAAAUCCCUCGGCUCAACCGAGGAACUGCGCCCAAAACUACCGUGCUCGAGGAAGAUAGAGGUGAGCGGAACUCACGGUGGAGCGGUGAAAUGCGUUGAUAUCGUGAGGAACACCCGUGGCGAAAGCGGCUCACUGGGUCUUUUCUGACGCUGAUGCACGAAAGCUAGGGGAGCAAACGGG
This 253-nucleotide ribosomal RNA is filed under the name uncultured bacterium. Its description in RNAcentral is "partial 16S ribosomal RNA". It matches the Rfam family "Bacterial small subunit ribosomal RNA", at positions 524 to 776 of the family's 1533-position model. The record is from RNAcentral.